This 587-nucleotide ribosomal RNA is filed under the name uncultured bacterium. Its description in RNAcentral is "partial 16S ribosomal RNA". It matches the Rfam family "Bacterial small subunit ribosomal RNA", at positions 355 to 1376 of the family's 1533-position model. The record is from RNAcentral.
UGGGGAAUAUUGGACAAUGGGGGAACCCUGAUCCAGCCAUGCCGCGUGUGUGAAGAAGGCCUUAUGGUUGUAAAGCACUUUAAGCGAGGAGGAGGCUACUGAGACUAAUACUCUUGGAUAGUGGACGUUACUCGCAGAAUAAGCACCGGCUAACUCUGUGCCAGCAGCCGCGGUAAUACAGAGGGUGCGAGCGUUAAUCGGAUUUACUGGGCGUAAAGCGCGCGUAGGCGACUUUUAAAGUCGGAUGUGAAAUCCCCGAGCUUAACCUGGGAAUUGCAUUCGAUACUGGGAAGCUAGAGUAUGGGAGAGGAUGGUAGAAUUCCAGGUGUAGCGGUGAAAUGCGUAGAGAUCUGGAGGAAUACCGAUGGCGAAGGCAGCCAUCUGGCCUAAUACUGACGCUGAGGUACGAAAGCAUGGGGAGCAAAACAGGAUUAGAUACCCUGGUAGUCCAUGCCGUAAACGAUGUCUACUAGCCGUUGGGGCCCUUGAGGCUUUAGUGGCGCAGCUAACGCGAUAAGUAGACCGCCUGGGGAGUACGUCGCAAGACUAAAGCUUAAAUGAAUUGACGGGGUCAUAGCUGUUUCCUG